This 161-nucleotide non-coding RNA is filed under the name pig gut metagenome. The record is from RNAcentral.
CAGGUGUCCGUACAAAUUGUACGGGUGAAAAGGGAACGGAGUGAGAGUCUCCGACAGGACCGCUGCUGUGAAGCGGAGUUUCAUGCGAGAUACCAUUGGCCGAAGGGCUGAGAAGGCUGCAUGGGGCGUUGAUGCUGAGUCAGAAGACCUGCCUGCGAAUU